Molecule: small nucleolar RNA, 127 nt
Organism: Homalodisca vitripennis (glassy-winged sharpshooter)
Lineage: Eukaryota; Metazoa; Arthropoda; Insecta; Hemiptera; Cicadellidae
Product: small nucleolar RNA SNORA57
Exons: 1
Source: RefSeq, a predicted model, not a curated record
CCACCUAUUUGGCACGUUGUUACAUAUUGUAACUUUCGUGAAUGCACAGGUGGUACAGUAAUGGAGGUCUAUGCCUUCGGUGUCUGCAGUGUGGCUGCAGAUCCCAUCCUCAAAGACCUCUACAGUU